This 617-nucleotide ribosomal RNA is filed under the name uncultured Verrucomicrobium sp. RNAcentral describes it as "bacterial SSU rRNA". It matches the Rfam family "Bacterial small subunit ribosomal RNA", at positions 76 to 705 of the family's 1533-position model. Lineage: Bacteria; Pseudomonadati; Verrucomicrobiota; Verrucomicrobiia; Verrucomicrobiales; Verrucomicrobiaceae. The record is from RNAcentral.
GUAGUAAUACCGAUGAAAUCUAGUGGCGAACGGGUGCGUAACACGUGAGCAAUCUGCCGGGAAGUGGGGGAUACUCGCCGAAAGGCGAAUUAAUACCGCAUAUGGCCAGGCAAGACAUCUUCCCGAAGCCAAAGUCGCAAGACGCUUCCUGAUGAGCUCGCGGGCUAUCAGCUAGUUGGUGAGGUAAUGGCUCACCAAGGCUAUGACGGGUAGCUGGUCUGAGAGGACGACCAGCCACACUGGAACUGAGACACGGUCCAGACACCUACGGGUGGCAGCAGUCGAGAAUUUUUCACAAUGGGGGAAACCCUGAUGGAGCGACGCCGCGUGGAGGAUGAAGGUUUUCGGAUUGUAAACUCCUGUCAAAUGGGAACAAGAAAGUGAUAGUACCAUUAGAGGAAGAGACGGCUAACUCUGUGCCAGCAGCCGCGGUAAUACAGAGGUCUCAAGCGUUGUUCGGAUUCAUUGGGCGUAAAGGGUGCGCAGGCUGUGGGGUAAGUCGGAUGUGAAAUUUAGAGGCUCAACCUCUAAACUGCAUUCGAUACUGCUUCGCUAGAGGACUGUAGAGGAGAUUGGAAUUCACGGUGUAGCAGUGAAAUGCGUAGAUAUCGUGAGGA